Gavia stellata (red-throated loon) is the source of this 6481-nucleotide RNA transcript. It is a transcript of the gene named chromosome 9 C10orf71 homolog, with no coding region annotated. The transcript has 4 exons. The record is from RefSeq and is a predicted model, not a curated record. NCBI's taxonomy places the organism in Eukaryota, Metazoa, Chordata, Aves, Gaviiformes, Gaviidae.
GGAUUCCUUGCUCACUUCACUUCACCUGGCUGGGCAGGUCUGCGAGGGCUCAAGGGUUAGCUCCUCCACUUUUAUUGUUUUAUUUAUUUUUCAGUGGUUGUUUCCAUUAAGAUAACCAUGUUCAGAAGGAGAGUCUGAAACACAUAAAUAAUGGGAAGUGCUAAUAGUAAGCAGGCUGCUGUAAAAUGUGCUGGGGCUUUGACUUAAGGGAAGAAAGCACAGCCCUGCACUGUCCCUGGUAAGGAAGCUUCAGCACAGAAGAAUUCACUUAAGAUCAAAAAAUGCUGAAGGUCGGAAACAUCCCGAGACAUUACUUCUGUCAAAUCUACAUCACUGGAGUACUUCUACCUCCUCACUAAAGAUGGUCAGAAAUGGAGCCAAGCACAAGCAGGAGAGGGAGUUCUAAAGAUGAGAAGCAAAGUUACGUGGCAGGGAAGAACUUUUCCUUCAGCUAUUCCGUAAGAUGAAUCAAUGUGCAGCAGCACCGUCUGGAGAAAUCACUUUGUGCUUGUGAAUUGCAAACAGCUGGAACCACCCAACACAAUCAUCUGCAUAUCUGACACCUGAAAUUAAUCCUUUGGAUAAUUCAUUCAUGACUCCCAGGAACAAUGCAGGGAAAUAAGAAACAUACAGAAGGACAUAGUGAUUCCUCAAGUAUUGGGAGUCUCCUGGAUGACACAGACAGAGAGGUGAGCAGUCUCACAGACCGGGCUUUCAAAAGUUUGUGUGUGGCAGAACUCGAAGACUCUUACAAUGAACCAGAUCUUGCCAUUUCACCUGACUUCACCCUCCAAUUCUCUGCUAAGUUUCACCCAGGGACGUUAAACCAUACCGUUAAGAAAAGCAAUGUCUGUAACAAGCUAACAGCAAGAAACAAUGAACAUACAAUAUGGGCUUCAACAUUCCAGCAGUUACCAAAGUGUGCUCCAGAGGAGAAAAGGAUUGCUAAAAAUAACACCUUUGCCAUGGAAAGGAAAAAGUUGAAUUUGCCAGUCCCUGGUCCAAGGAACAAUAAACAUGUUUCAAAAGUGUCCUCAUUGAUUAAGACAUUUGAUAAGACUGCAGACCAAGGGUCAGGAAGUUCCCUGAUAGCCCUUAAGCAACCCAUUAAGAAUAGCCUUCAAAAGUGUAAAUUAAAUCAUGGAAAUGAUAUGGCUUGCUGGGAUGACACAGACAUUUUAAGCAUCCACAAGGAACUUUCUGAAUUUUCUGAGGCUAGUCAAGGUAGCCGCUGUCUCAGUGGCAAACAUGAGCCACAGAAAAGACCUAAUAAAAUAGACCUGAGUUAUUGUGGCUCUGAUGAUUAUUAUCCUGUGCUGAUUGAGAUGUCAAAAGUAGCCAAGUCAAAUUUUUCCCGUUCGUCUAAAAAGGCUUUAAAAAACAGAAGUGUGAAAGUUAAUGAGCCAGCAAAAAAAGGUAAUUUUCUUCACAGUGAGAACAGUGCUUUUGAAUCAUGGAAUGUUCAUCAUAAAAAACUGACUGAAAAGGAGGAAUUUGUUGAUAUAAAAACAAAAAAGGAAGGUCUUGCAUACCUGGAAGAAGCACCAUUUAUUAAAGGAUCCCACACACGUGAACAUAAAUUACCACCUGACAAGAUCACUGCUGCUAAGAAGCAGGAGAGAGACUUUCAGAUGGAGCCAGCUCCACCAGAAGCUGCUUUCAGCAUCCCUCUCCCAGCUGUAUACGUACCUCAGGGCCCCCUCCCUUCAGAAACCGAAUUUCCUCCUGCUCUUCCUCCCACGCCCCCCCCCAGGAUCCAUGCGCACCAGGGUCCUCCUCAGCCACCCCCACAGGCACUUCCUCUUCCACCCCCCACCCAGCAGGGCCAUGCCCCAAGACCCCCUACCCCUGAAGUCCCUCCUGUGCCACCACCCCCAAUGCCAGCUCAGCUUUCCCCCCCUGCCACCUCCCAAAGCUCCAUCUCACCCCACUCCGUGUCCUACAGGAUGGUUUCACCCUCACCCGUGUCCCAGGCACUCAGCCCGCCUCCACCGAGACCUCUGGCCACCUUAACCGAAGAGGGGGCCCUCAGUCCCCAACUGGGCAAUACCUGUCCACCCUGGAGGAGACAGAGGGCUACAAAAGGGGCAGCAGAGAAGAGACAGACUUCAAAGGAGAGGCUGACAGCCAGCGAUGAGACAGUUUCAUUGCCUGAAAAAGUACCUGGUGCUGAAGCUGGUCUGGAUGUGACUCCUCUGGCUAAACAGGUAAACUCCCCUGGAUCAAUCAGUCCCUCUUUCAACAUCACUGAACUCUUAACACCCAUUAUACCACCAAAACAGGAGGCAGACCCUGUGGAAAGCGAGCUGAUCCCGCUGACACCUCCUCCCACUGAGAGUGUGGCAGCGAGAGACCACGAGGGGAGCGCGUUUGGUGAUUACAGGUCUUGGGAUAGUUACAAAUCGAAAGCAUCAAGUCUGUUAUUCAACUUGAAGGAUGUGCGUAAACGUGUUAAAAGCAUUUAUACCCCUUCUCCCCUGUUAAGGGCCUUGGAGGAGAAAAAUAAAACUAGGGAAAAUGUACAGGAGAGUACAAAAAUGAAUGCCUCACUCUCGACUUUACAAGAAAAAAGUAACAAAAAUAUUGCAGAAAAAGAUGAAUCAAGUGAUAUAACCUCCGUAUUGUCUGGCAGUGUUCAGGAAAAGGAAAAUAAAACUGAUUUAACUGGACACUUUACAGACAAUUACCUGACUUUGAGUUCACCCCAGACAACAGCAGACCUUUUAUUUUACCAAACUGGAGACAACUUGCAGCAAGACAAUUCAAAACACAAAAGUCUGGUUAAAAACACAAGGGGUAAUGAAAACUUCCCCUUGUUCAGACAUGAAUCAAAUGAACCUGAUUUAAGGAAAUAUCUGCAGUAUCCAACACUAAAACCAUUCAGUAGGGACAAUGCAGACACAACAGCUGGGCAGCCCGGGCAAAAUCCCAGUGUCCAGGGUGAGGAAAAUGAGAGACAGGCUGCUAAUCAGAAAGAAGAGUUUGCCUCCAAAACACUCCCAAGCCAACUCUCACCAGCAGAGGAUGUGCCUUACAGUGACAUCCAAACCAGUAUGGUGGUAACUGGCCAUGAAGCACAAAGCAAAAGAAGCAGUAGUUCUUCGGAGCAAUCUUUCAUCUCCACGGUAGAGCAGCCACUUCAGGAGGAGCCGUUUCCACUGGUGCCCCUGAUGCAGAAGGCAUCCCUUCAAGAAAGCCAGAGGACUAAGAGUGAAAUGGGUGCAGACAGUAAGAAAAGCCACAAGGAGAGAGGGAAAGAGGUUGGGGAAGAUGAACUGCAAUGUUAUGCUUGUAUCGGCUCUGGUACUGGUGCAGCAGAGAAGAGGGAGGGUAGGAUUACUGGGAAUGAAGAGAGGAGCUUGAUGAAAGAGAAGCUGAGAGACAAAAGGGACGAUGCCAGCAGCAUGGAUUCUGCUUCCAACAGUAUAAGGGACAUGUCCAUCCCCAGGUCCGAGGAGCCACAAACACCCCCAUCUUCAAGCUCAACCAAACCCAGUCUGUUUAUGAUUAAAGAUAACACAUUCAGGUCACCUCAGGUAAUAAAGGCUGUCAAGCUGCCCCUGUUCAGGUCCUUUUCCCUGGAUGAUACAGUGAGCAGCAGUUAUAAGGAAAUGGAAAGUAGGUUUGUGCCCCCAGCAGAGCACAAUAAGCAGCACCGAAACAUGUUGCAUGCCCAGGAGGUGGGCUGGUCGGCAUCAAGGCGCAGAGGGCAGCAGAACGUGAGGGAUGGAGCAACCGACACAGGGAAAGAGGCCAGUGAGCCUGGAUCUACUUCAGCAACACUGGAUCCCAGUCUUCUGGAAGAUACAGAGAGCUUUUCGUUAGGGAAGCUGAUGGAAGAGGAUGAAGAGACUUGUGCUUUGUUAAAUAAAGUUGGGAAAAUGAAUGGGGAAAGUAUCUGCAGAAGGAAAGAGAAGCCCCAGACUAGGAAGGCAAGGCACAGCUUAAUGCAGCCAAAUUUAGGUCUGGAAAAUGACCAAGCACAAAACGUCCCCAGCUAUCCCACACAAAGACAGACAAAUUACUUUAAGAAUCAUCAUUUACCUAAUCGCAGAGGUGGCUCUUGUGCGAAAAAAAUAAUCACUAGGGAGACCAUUUCCCCCGUGACUGGCUCCUUAUCAGAGGACCACACGUAUUCUCCUGUAUCCCACGAAGCUUUAGAGGAUAUGCUACAUAUGGAAGGUGCACCAGUUUUGUUAGACAGUCUUGCAUGCUCUUCUGUUACAAGCCCCAGGUCAGGCAGCACAAUGCACUCUCUUGCUGCCAAUUCAUCGUCAGACAAGCCAACAAGAGAGACAGAGGAUGUUAUAAACCCUGUCUUGCCAAAUGUGGCACUAAAGAGCCAAGCUAAUAUGUCUGCAGAAGAGAUACUUGAUUCAGCACAGAGGAAUCUGCCUUCUGAUUCUGCGGGGGAAGCUGAGAGACUGGAGCCCAGGGGACUUGGGGAAAGAGCAGCAGGCAAGCCUCCUGCUGUGCCACCGAAAACAGAAAAGGCUCUGCGGCGAGCAAAAAAGCUGGCAAGCAGGAGAAAGAAAAUGCAAGAGCAGCAGAAAAAACAUCAAACUGAGCAUACAGAUGCUGUGGGGAGAAAGUCUUCUCAUUCUGGAAGGACACUAGCAUCUUCCUCACCCUUGGGAUAUUCUCCUCUCCAUCCUGCCCCUCACUCAAAUUUUGCUCCCACAGAAACCAGUACAAGAAGACCCAGUGGUGCAUCAGCAGUAAGCCCUUCACCCUCUUCAACCCAGCGUAAACUCCUCCAAGACCCUGACUCUGGCCAAUACUAUGUAGUUGAUUUACCAGCUGAAGCUAAUUUAAAGACAUUUUAUGACCCAGAAACUGGCAAAUAUGUUCAAGUCUCAGUCCCUUCCUCGGAAGGGAAUUUAUACCAGCCCCACUCUUCAGAAAUUAUGAAUUCUCCCUAUGCCUCCUACCCUAGAGCACUGCCUUUAGCAGCUUCGUCUGUAGCAGUGCUGAAGUCACCUUCUCAGCUCUCCAAACCUACCUGGUUGAUGCCGGCUGUACCAGGAGAACAAGGUGAACUACCUGAAGAUGGCCAGCAGGACUACAGAUAUGCUGAAGCUGUGGAUACCCAGACCUAUAUUGAACCAGCCUCUUACCCCUACAGUCAAGAUGCUGAAGAAACUCAAGUUCACUUAGGAAAGGACAUGAGCCCAACCCCAAAUACUGACAUAGUGUCCCUCGCAGAUUUAGAUGAUUUUGCUGCUGAAGGAGUAUCUUGAAAACUGAAGUAAUGAAAUAUGCCAGCUAGUGUUUUGAAGAACCGUUUGGACAGACACAUGCACACAAAAGCACAUGCAGAUUUGAUGUUUGUACAACACUUUAUGUCUGAAUCUCAUUGUGGUUUGGGUGGGAAAGAAAAUGAAAGCUGACCACACUGAAAAAUGUGAGGUGAUGAUCACUCUGAAGAAGCGUGAAACUGAGUAAGCACCAAAUUAUCAGUGAGAUGAAGGGGCAAUGCCAACUCAACAAAUAAAUACAACAGUAUGAAGCCACUGCUUGCUGCUGCUUCUGCUUUGCCAUUAUGAUGGCUGGGAUUGCCAAAGCAAGUGUCCCUUUGCCCAGAUGUGUUGCAUGAUAUAUGACACAAAGUAAAACCUAUGAGACCAUCUUGUUCAUCCUAUGAGACCUAGGACAGAUGCCGCAUCUGCUGAACUUUUCUUACUCACUGCCUUUGAACUACAUUGACAGGGGAUGUGAGCUGGAUCUGGCCCAAGAGAGACCCUUUCUUCGAUUGCACUGAGGUUGCUGAAAGUCUGUUGGUGGAAUCGGUUUCUGCUGGCAAGCACUGCUUGCCUGGAUCAGGUCUUCUGAGACUGCGUCCCUUCCCAAGGAAGGUGGAUGGAAACAUUUCAGAAUUAUUCCAUGCCAAAACUGGCUGUGGCUUUGUGAACCUUCCAAAAGGAAAAGUCAGAAAAAAAUGAAAGGAGAAUGUCAUAUUGCAUUAUAAUAUGAGGCAAUGUUAUUGUUGAUAAUACAUCCAUACAUGGAUGUGUGCCUAUACAGAGAUGUAUCUAGGUAUGUCUACAUGUCUAUAUAUAAUUAUAGAUAUAGUAUUCAUGUUCUACUGAAGUGUCUGGACAUGAUCUAAACAGUGCCCUUGAACUGUCCUUUGCAUCCCCCACCUAUCAGUCCACACAUCCUGUUACUUGCAGGGUCUGCCCCAAGGGAGUUCCGUUUUCCCCUGGGCUUCCCAUGUACUCUGGCAUGUUCCACUACACCGGGGAGACAAAUGUUCACCUCUUUCCAUAUUCUUGCCAGGACUAGAGGGUGUACCUGCAAUGCCCCCAUCCCUGCUGCUCAAGGAGCAAGAGGUCUCCCUCACGCAGACUCCUUUUGCUAAAGGUGGUGCAGUUGGUGAGUCCUGAGCAGUUCCCCAGGCUGGGCCAGAUGGGACUGUAAAGGGAGGUGGAGAAGCCCUUUUGCUUAAUACUUCCCCUUCAUGAAACCACUGCAUUAUCAU